This 1412-nucleotide unclassified non-coding RNA is filed under the name Hevea brasiliensis (rubber tree). Lineage: Eukaryota; Viridiplantae; Streptophyta; Magnoliopsida; Malpighiales; Euphorbiaceae. The record is from RNAcentral.
GAAUCUGUGGUCUGGUUUGUGUAAAGCAGGAGGAGGAUAUCGGAAGACGCGAAAAUCCAUUGCACGAUUUGUAGUGCCUCUGCCAGAGCCAUAAGCUUGAGCAAAGAGUGCGAAAUGGAGAAAGAAGAGAUAGGGAAGGUCAAGGAGAAGGAGAAGCUGUGCAAGAGAUGCAAACAGUCUUUUACUUCCUCUUCUAACGCCUCCUCUGCUUGCCGCUUCCAUCCUUCCUUCUUUGUCUGUCGCCGUCACGAUGACCAGAAAAGGUACUAUGAAUUGGGACCUGAUGAUCCACCAUAUGCUGCCAAAUUUUAUGACUGUUGUGGGGCUGAGUAUCCUGAGGCGCCUGGCUGCACCACCAGUUUUCAUGUUUCAUAUGAUGACUGAUGUAAUGUUUCUCCUUAAUACCUAGAGUCUGACUGGAUUAAACUUGUAUAUGUUUCCAUACUUCCUCUCCAGCUAAUUAUUUCUCUUCAUAUUUACUUUGCAGCUUUGUGCCUCAAUAAAUUUAUCAUGCAAUAAUUGCUUCAGAUAGAACAAUAAAUAAUAACAUCUUCUGCCUGUAGUUGGGUCUUAGGUGCUUCCUAAUGAUCAUUUGAAGAUGGCAUGUGUUUUACUCAACCUGUUGGGAUUUGCUGGGAACAAUUUCCACGUGGCUAGAUUUUAAGUGGAUUAUCAUAUCUUAUGGUGAUUCACGUUGGCCACAUGGGUUCAUUUGAGUGGGUAAAUCACGCAAAUUUGUAGUAAGGUAGAUGAGGUUUUGAUUUCCUGGUUGAUGUGCAAGUGAAAGACUAUUCAUGAAACUGUGAGAUCCUUUUGAUGAGACGCAUUCUGGCUUCCUGUGACCUGAACUAUAUCAUUGCAGAAGGUUUGCAUUUAUAGAGAAAAAGGAAAGGAUUGUAAGAGGUAUGGACGAGAAAACAAAGGGCAAGAACACCAGUGGUAAUUGGAUACUGAAAUGAGUUGCCUACCUACCUACUUUUCGAGUCUAAAGCAUGUUAAUGGGAUUCGAUGCUACUAAUUAUGUAGCAUCUAAUGAUGUAGUUCUUCUCGAGUAUUUUGCUCUGGGACAACCUCAUUACUUUCUCUGUUUUCAUGUCGUUGGUCUCUUUUGCUCUCUAAUAAAUACUCGAAAGUGACAAAAAAGGCCAAAAGAAAAAAAGCCUCCAUGCGCUGUAUUUAUAGUUGAAACAUAUGAACCUAGAAUCUACUUGUGGAUAUGAACCCAGAAUCUACUUGUGGAAGUAGUUUUCCAUUUAGAAACAGCUAUCUUUGGGAAUAAGUGGAGAACAGUUGAACAUGCUAUCCAGUAUCCACAUCAGGUUUUAGAAAAGUAUCACAAACAGUAUAACACAUUAUCUAUUUGUCAUUUCAGGUCCUCAGGUUUUAAGAUAAUACUGUAAAUUGCUGAUUAU